UGGGGAAUAUUGCACAAUGGGGGGAACCCUGAUGCAGCGACGCCGCGUGAGUGAAGAAGUAUCUCGGUAUGUAAAGCUCUAUCAGCAGGGAAGAAGAUGACGGUACCUGACUAAGAAGCCCCGGCUAACUACGUGCCAGCAGCCGCGGUAAUACGUAGGGGGCGAGCGUUAUUCGGAUUUACUGGGUGUAAAGGGAGCGUAGACGGCCGUGCAAGUCAGGAGUGAAAACCCGCGGCUCAACUGCGGGACUGCUCUUGAGACUGUAUGGCUGGAGUGCAGGAGAGGUAAGUGGAAUUCCUAGUGUAGCGGUGAAAUGCGUAGAUAUUAGGAGGAACACCAGUGGCGAAGGCGGCUUACUGGACUGUGACUGACGUUGAGGCUCGAAAGCGUGGGGAGCAAACAGGAUUAGAUACCC
Molecule: ribosomal RNA, 415 nt
Filed under: uncultured bacterium
Lineage: Bacteria
Description: bacterial SSU rRNA
Rfam family: Bacterial small subunit ribosomal RNA
Source: RNAcentral